CCCUUAGAUGUUCUGGGCCGCACGCGCGCUACACUGACACGUUCAUCAAGUCUAUAACCUUGACCGAGAGGUCUGGGUAAUCUUUUAAAAACGUGUCGUGCUGGGGAUAGAUUAUUGCAAUUAUUAAUCUUCAACGAGGAAUUCCUAGUAAACGCAAGUCAUCAACUUGCAUUGAUUACGUCCCUGCCCUUUGUACACACCGCCUGUCGCUACUACCGAUUGAAUGAUUUAGUGAGUACCAGGGACCGAGCGCUUUGGUUGGGUUUCCUUCCCUAGCGCUUGGGAACUGUCGCAAACUUGACCAUUUAGAGGAAGUAAAAGUCGUAACA
This 329-nucleotide ribosomal RNA is filed under the name uncultured eukaryote. RNAcentral describes it as "partial 18S ribosomal RNA". It matches the Rfam family "Eukaryotic small subunit ribosomal RNA", at positions 1470 to 1796 of the family's 1831-position model. The record is from RNAcentral.